Molecule: ribosomal RNA, 228 nt
Filed under: uncultured bacterium
Lineage: Bacteria
Description: partial 16S ribosomal RNA
Rfam family: Bacterial small subunit ribosomal RNA
Source: RNAcentral
UGCGUAGGCGGUUUGUUAAGUCAUUUGUAAAAGAUCUCAGCUCAACUGAGUAAGGCAGAUGAAACUGGCAGACUUGAAUACGGUAGAGGUAAGUGGAAUUCCAUGUGUAGCGGUGGAAUGCGUAGAUAUAUGGAGGAACACCAAUGGCGAAGGCAACUUACUGGGCCGGAAUUGACGCUGAGGCACGAAAGCGUGGGUAGCAAACAGGAUUAGAUACCCUGGUAGUCC